RNAcentral lists this unclassified non-coding RNA (2538 nucleotides) under Apis dorsata (giant honeybee). RNAcentral describes it as "sodium- and chloride-dependent transporter XTRP3, transcript variant X2". Lineage: Eukaryota; Metazoa; Arthropoda; Insecta; Hymenoptera; Apidae. The record is from RNAcentral.
CUAAAUAUCAACAAACUCGAUCCGAUCUGCGAGUCCAUUUCCCCUCCCGAAAACAAAAUAAAGAAGGAGAGAGAGAGAGAGAGAAAGAGAAAGAAAAAGGGAAGAAACGUUCGAACUCGUCCUUUUCGUCUUUGGAAACAAAGGACUCCGAAGUGAAGCAUGGUAGUCAAGAACGAGAAUACGAGAAAUGGGCAUGAGCUGGCUCCGUUGAACGAGGAACGUCAGGCAGGGCAGAACGUGACAAUCGUGGUAACCGGGAAUCAAAAUGCUGCUGGCAGUCAAGAAACCAAGGAGGAGAAUAGGGCGGAAUGGAGCGGGAAGAUGCAAUUUUUCCUCAGUAUUAUCGGUUACAGCGUGGGACUUGGGAAUAUAUGGAGAUUCCCUUACCUGUGCCAACAGAACGGAGGAGGUGCCUUUCUCAUCCCCUUUUUCGUGAUGCUAAUCCUAGAGGGUGUACCCCUCUUUUUAAUCGAGCUGGGUCUCGGUCAACGUAUGCGACAGGGCGCCCUUGGUGUAUGGAACACGAUACAUCCAUGGUUAGGCGGUAUAGGGAUAGCAUCGUGCAUCGUCACCUUCUUCGUAGCACUUUAUUACAACGUCAUCAUUACCUGGUGCUUCUAUUAUCUUUUCAAUUCACUGGAGGCCGUCACGAUUAAAGCUGGCGAACCGUUACCAUGGGCGAAAUGUCCGGAGGUUGAUGGGAAGCCGGUAGAGGAAUGCGUGAAGAGUUCGGAAACUGCCUAUUUUUGGUACAGAACCACUCUGGACGCGGCACCCUCGAUCGAGGAAGGAUCGAGCGGUCUGAAAUGGUGGAUCGUCCUUUGUCUACUGUUGAGUUGGAUCGUCGUCUUUUUUAUCGUGAUGAAAGGAAUACAAUCAUCGGGGAAGGUGGUAUAUUUUACAUCCAUGUUCCCGUAUUUGGUGCUUACUAUCUUUUUUAUUCGUGGAAUAACGUUAAAAGGUGCCAGCGCUGGAUUGGCCCACAUGUACACGCCAAAGAUCGAGAAGCUGUUAGAGCCGACGGUCUGGCUCGACGCAGCGACGCAAGUUUUUUAUAGUUUCGGACUAGCGUUCGGCUCCCUGAUCGCGUUCGGAUCUUACAACACUCCAGACAACCACUGCGUCCGGGACGUGAUUCUGGUUAGCUGUUGCAACGCCUUCACCGCAAUUUACGCGAGUAUAGUGAUAUUCGCCAUUCUAGGCUUUAAGGCGAUGACAAAUGUCGAUAAGUGCCUCGCAGGUAAUAAAGACUUACUCGUUGAACACGGAUUUGCCUAUCAAAACACCACCAUGGAGAGAUACAAAGAUAUUGUAAAUAAUCUCAAUGUAACAAAAAUGAAUUUCACCCUUGAAACAUGUAGCCUGAGCGAACAAUUGGACAACGCUGCCGAAGGAACGGGAUUAGCUUUCAUAGUGUUUACGCAGGCGAUAGUCGAGCUACCAGGCGCUCCUUUCUGGUCCUGUAUUUUCUUUCUGAUGCUUCUAGCCCUCGGUCUCGGUUCCCAAAUCGGUAUACUAGAGGGCAUGCUGUGCGUCAUCUUCGACAUAGAUCUGUUCAAGAGAAUAAAAAAGCAAUACAUGACAGGGGUAGUUUGCACGGUGUGCUUCUUUGUUGGUUUAAUAUUCUGUACCGGAGCCGGAGAAUAUUGGCUAAAGAUGUUCGACAGUUUCGCAGGUACCAUCGGUCUCGUGAUGGUCGCGCUCAUGGAAAUGAUUUCCGUCAUCUUUGUUUAUGGUCACGAAAAAUUCACGAAAGAUAUCGAGGAGAUGACAGGAUACAGACCAGGAGUGUAUUGGCAAUUCACCUGGCGAUUUCUCGCUCCCAUAAUCAUGGUCUGCAUCCUUGUCUCCAGUAUAAUCUCCAUGGUUGUGAAGAAGCCUCAAUAUUCCGCGUGGGAUGCGUCACGGGGCAUAGCUGUACCCACCGCGUAUCCCGGCUGGGUGUUGGCUAUAGCGGUCGUCAUCAUUUUUGCGGGCAUCGCGCCAAUACCGAUUGUAUUCCUUUUGAGGCGGUUCCAAUGCGUCAAGUUGGACGUUGACAUUCACCAAGGCAGCAUACGACGUAUCGAUACCACCGUUUCUACAAAAGAAAUGAUGGGAGAUGUCGAUUUAUAGGAAAGCGUCCGUUCUGUGUGCGGUAACGUCGAUUAAUCGCUUCUUCCAUAGCUACCUUACACUUGGACGAGUAUCACGAUCGCCUCGAAGAUUUUCCCGAGGAGGACGAAGACGUGAACAGCGAUGACGACAACAACAGUGCCCCGCCGAUAACGAAGAUCGUCCCUAACAAACUUCAGGGUAAACCGUUCAAAAUGGAAGUGAUGGACUUUUAAAAGUUGUCAGAUUCGUCGACUUUUGUCGUAUCGUUUUCACCUUACGUGACGACAGAACAUGGAAAGAGGGUUGAUCGAACAUUCUCAUCCCUUUCGAAUUUCGAUUCUCAGGAAACGCGUAAGACGAUACGAAAUAAUUGCAGGUACGAAUCGACGAAUGAAAGAGAGAGAGAGAGAGAGAGAGAGAGAGAGAGAGAGAGAGAGAGAG